GCCACUGUCCUGUGCCGAAGUGUGUUGUUCGUUUAAUGUGCUGAACCUUGUAGAAGAAGAAUUGUUUAGUUCCGAAAUGGUGAAAGUCACUCUGUGGAGAUGCAGACGUUAUCAAACUCCAUCCUUCUUGCUAUAAUUUUGUAGAAGCAUUGUCUUGCAACAACAAAAAAAGUGUCACCUUUUUGGGCCCUCAGCAGUUUGCAUCCCUGACUGCUUCUUGACACAGUGCCAGCUUGACUCAGAAGCCAGCCGGAGGAAACACCUGGCGACCAUGUCAGCGUGCAUUGCGCCCAGCCCGCCACAGGAGUCGCUAGUGCACGAUGCGACAGUAACAUCCCGGCCGGCCAAACCCUCCCCUAACCCGGACAACACUGGGCCAAUUGUGCGCCGCCCUACGGGUCUCCCGGUCGCGGGCGGCUGCGACAGAGCCUGGACUCAAACCAGGUUCUCUAGUGGCACACCUAGCACUACGAUGCAGUGCCUUAGACCACUGCGCCACUCGGGAAGCCCUGAAAGAAAAAAAAAAAAAACAUUACUCAAUUUUAGAAUAAGGCUGUAACGUAACAAAAUGUGGAAAAAGUCAAGGGGUCUGAAUACUUUUCAAAGACACUGUAAGCUGCUGUAUAUACAGGGUCACUCAACCGUGUGGGAGUCAAAACCAUCAGUUUAGAAUUUCCUGUCAUGUACUGAGGAAAUGUAACAGUUUAGGGGGAGGAGUGGGGGAAGAGGGAGUAGUAGGGGAGGAGAGAGUGGGUGGGGGAGGAGUGGAGGUCAAUCUGGUUGUAUUGAAAUAGGAUCACCGCCUGGUAUGGCAACUGCUCGGCAUCCGACCGCAAGGUGCUACAGAGGGUUGUGCGUACUGCCCAAUACGUCACUUGGGCCAAGUUUCCUGCAAUCCAGGACCUACAGUGGCUUGCGAAAAUAUUCACACCCCUUGGCAUUUUUCAUAUUUUGUUGCCUUACAACCUGGAAUUAAAAUUAGAUUUUUGGGGGUUUGUAUCUUUUGAUUUACACAACAUGUCUACCACUUUGAAGAUGCAAAAUAAUUUUUAUUGUGAAAUAAACAAGAAAUAAGACAAAAAAACCCGGAAAACUUGAGCAUGCAUAACUAUUCACCCUCCCCAAAAGUCAAUACUUUGUAGAGCCACCUUUUGCAGCAAUUGCAGCUGCAAGUCUCUUGGGGUAUGUGAACCCAAAGCAUUGAGGUUAGCCUACAUCAUCCUCAGUAAAUACAGAAGUACCUGGAGGGUGAACCCAAAGCAUUGAGGUUAGCCUACAUCAUCCUCAGUAAAUACAGAAGUACCUGGAGUGUGAACCCAAAGCAUUGAGGUUAGCCUACAUCAUCCUCAGCAAAUACAUUAAGUGUAAUGGUCUGCAUAUCCAAUCAAACGUCACUAAUGGAUAAUAAAUUAUAAUCUAUAGAUCAUUUUACCACUCCCCUUCUCCCCUCCUUGGAAAACUCAGAUUGCCCUUGGUGUAUUCCAGUGGAGGCUGCUGAGGAGAGGACUGCUUAUAAUAAUGGCUGGAACGGAGCAAACCAUGUGUUUGAUGUAUUUGAUACAAUUCCGCUCCAGUUAUUACCACGAGCGCGUCCUCCCAAAUGAAGAUGCCACCAACCUCCUGUGGUGUAUUCCACAUCAGUUCUGUCAUUGUCAUUCUCACCAACGGCAUGAGCAUGUAGGGUCAACAUUUACCACCAAGUCAUUGGAUCUCUGUACGUACUUGAUGUUAUGAAACAACAAGCAAAUGGAAGAGUUGAGGGUUGGGACUGUGAGGCUGAGCUGAUUCUUUCUGUGGUACUCUCUACAUAUGAUCAUAGCUGCACAGAAUCUCUGUCUCCCCACUGUAAUUUCUGGUGUACAACAGGGAAAAUAACGAUGGCUUUCUGUCACGCCCUGACCUUAGAGAGCCUUUUUUAUUCUCUAUUUUGUUAGGUCAGGGUGUGACUUGGGUGGGCAAAUCUAUGUUUAUAUUUCUUUGUUGGCCUAGUAUGGUUCCCAAUCAGAGGCAGCUGUUUAUCGUUGUCUCUGAUUGGGGAUCAUACUUAGGCAGCCCUUUUUCCCACCUGUGAUUGUGGGAUCUUGUUUUUGUAUAGCUGCUGUGAAGCCUGCAGAACGUUACAUUCGGUUUUGUGUUUUGUUGGUGUUCAUCUAAUAAUAGAAAAAUGUACGCUUACCACGCUGCACCUUGGUCUCAUUCCGACAACGGACGUAACACUUUCUCUCUCCCCUCCCCACCCCUGCCCUACCCUCUCCUUCCUCUGUUUUAGCUGAAGGCCUGUCUGCCCUUACAAAAUAAACACGUCAAAUUUGUAGUUUGACAUGUGAAAAUCGUAUUUUCACAAUUUUGAGCUUACAUUUCAAAUGUGAAACCAUAUUUUCAUCUGUAUUAAAUGUGGAGUUAACACCACCUUUUCACAUGUAAGAAGAAAAACGUGUUUUCACCUCACGUGAAUUGUACGGUUUCACAUGUUAAAAACUCUCACGUAAGAAAACGUCACGUGAAAAUUUCACUUUCACAUAUGGAAUUGCAUUUUCACAUGUAGAAAACAAUCAUGUAAAAAUCACAUUUGCAGAAAACUCCUCGUGAAAAAUCUAUCUUUCACAUGUGGAAUUGCAAGUUCACAUGUGGUGGUGAAAUAGUGCUAUACUCCUCACAUGUGAAAAAGGUGGUGUUAACAUGUUUACACAUGGAAAUGCCAAUUCUGUGAAAAGGUCAUUUAUUAUUCUCAGGCUAAAUCAAUCACUAAUUUCUGAGCCAUCCAUUCAGAGUGUUACUGCUGCAGGUGCGCGCCUCUCUUCAUACGUUGGUCAGUGACAGUCGGAAGAAGCCCAGUGAAAAGAACAGAGAAGCUAGAGCUCCAUGUCUCCUUAUUUAUCCUGUUUAACAUGUUCAAAUUAGCGAGGUCAGAGUUCAUCAUGCUAACUCAAGUUAACAUUUUGUAAUUGUAGUGCACAAUUUUUUUUAUUUAAUGGCAUUGUAUGAAAGCGUUCAAAAUACACUCAAAACAUCCAACAUACAUUAUCUAUACAGCUAAAAACAAUGCAAUGUCAAUGGAGGCUAUAUGUAGUCUUUUCACAUUCCUGACCUUUGAUCUUUGUGACUGUGCAGUCUGAUGCUUGUUGUGUGUCUGAUCUGUAUAAUGAGUGAAGGUCUUUUUCAUUUAUUUUUUUUAUGUUGUCUGUCUGUUUGUCUAUUUUUGUAUCUUUAGGUUAUUUGUUUGUUUCUAUUGUUUUUGUUUUCUGGUAUGAUUUAUGUGUAUUUUUCUUACUCUCUAAAAGCCACAAAACAACAGCAAAAAACAAGUUGAUUUUGAGGUUUUAUGUAACUAGGCAAGUCAGUUAAGAACAAAUUCUUAUUUACAAUGACGGCCUACACCAGGCAAAAACCAGACGACGCUGGGCCAAUUGUGUGCCGCUAUAUGGGACUCCCAAUCACGGCCGGAUGUGAAGCGCCACACGGGUCUAAGACACUGCAUCUCAGUGCAAGAAGCGUCAUUUAUUUAUCCAUUUUUGUGUAAAAAAAAAUAAAAAAUCGUACAUAACAGCUCAAUUUGAGCAAAUUAUGAAAUUGCCAUUAAUCACGAUUGCUCAUAGCAAAUCUUGCAAUAAACUCGAUGUAUUGUUUUGAAUAAUGAAUAAACAGCCCUAGUUGACA
Salmo salar (Atlantic salmon) is the source of this 3657-nucleotide long non-coding RNA. RefSeq lists it as uncharacterized. The record is from RefSeq and is a predicted model, not a curated record. NCBI's taxonomy places the organism in Eukaryota, Metazoa, Chordata, Actinopteri, Salmoniformes, Salmonidae.